This 609-nucleotide ribosomal RNA is filed under the name Bacillus sp. CSu4_7. Its description in RNAcentral is "bacterial SSU rRNA". It matches the Rfam family "Bacterial small subunit ribosomal RNA", at positions 57 to 649 of the family's 1533-position model. The record is from RNAcentral. Lineage: Bacteria; Bacillati; Bacillota; Bacilli; Caryophanales; Bacillaceae.
GCAGUCGAGCGGACCGACGGGAGCUUGCUCCCUUAGGUCAGCGGCGGACGGGUGAGUAACACGUGGGUAACCUGCCUGUAAGACUGGGAUAACUCCGGGAAACCGGGGCUAAUACCGGAUGCUUGAUUGAACCGCAUGGUUCAAUCAUGAAAGGCGGCUUCGGCUGCCGUUUACAGAUGGACCCGCGGCGCAUUAGCUAGUUGGUGAGGUAACGGCUCACCAAGGCGACGAUGCGUAGCCGACCUGAGAGGGUGAUCGGCCACACUGGGACUGAGACACGGCCCAGACUCCUACGGGAGGCAGCAGUAGGGAAUCUUCCGCAAUGGACGAAAGUCUGACGGAGCAACGCCGCGUGAGUGAUGAAGGUUUUCGGAUCGUAAAGCUCUGUUGUUAGGGAAGAACAAGUACCGUUCGAAUAGGGCGGUACCUUGACGGUACCUAACCAGAAAGCCACGGCUAACUACGUGCCAGCAGCCGCGGUAAUACGUAUGUGGCAAGCGUUGUCCGGAAUUAUUGGGCGUAGAGCGCGCGCAGGCGGUUUCUUAAGUCUGAUGUGAAAGCCCCCGGCUCAACCGGGGAGGGUCAUUGGAAACUGGGGAACUUGAGUGC